GUGAAGAGUGGACCCGCAGGGCAACCGUCUAAACUUUCCAUUGGAACACUUAAGAACCAUGAUGUCUCUUUUUUGAAGCAGGGAUUUGAAAACACAACAUCACAGACGAGUGCGUGGACAUGAAGCCGUCCCUGCUUUCAGUGCUAGGGGUGUGAGGGGCUCACAGAAGCUGGAACACUGACGACUAGCUCAGAGGGGUGGCCUAUCCCACAAGCCCUCCGACAGGUGCCAGACUGUGGUCAGGGCCUCCGUGCCCUGCGAAGUCCAGGCCAGCAGAGACACGAGGACCAGAUAAGGACACAACUAAUGAGCUAGGACUUGGUCCAAGAACCACAAUCUUUGUGCAUCAUAAUCCAACCGUGACCGUGGGAUCAGAUCUGCCUGCGUUACAGGGCCCGGCCCUCGGUAACCAUACUUCGAAGAAGCAAAUAACCAAGGGAAGACAUACAUGGAAGGGAUAAGAUGGAAAUAAAGUUGACUGAGGACCUUCA
Long non-coding RNA from Ailuropoda melanoleuca (giant panda), 491 nucleotides. RefSeq lists it as uncharacterized. The transcript is spliced from 2 exons. The record is from RefSeq and is a predicted model, not a curated record. NCBI's taxonomy places the organism in Eukaryota, Metazoa, Chordata, Mammalia, Carnivora, Ursidae.